RNAcentral lists this ribosomal RNA (252 nucleotides) under uncultured bacterium. Its description in RNAcentral is "partial 16S ribosomal RNA". It matches the Rfam family "Bacterial small subunit ribosomal RNA", at positions 524 to 776 of the family's 1533-position model. The record is from RNAcentral.
UACGGGGGUGCGAGCGUUGUCCGGAAUCACUGGGCGUAAAGGGCGCGUAGGUGGUUUGAUAAGGGUGUGGUGAAAGUCCGGGGCUCAACCCCGGAUCUGCCGUGCCGACUGUCAAACUCGAGGACUGUAGAGGCAGACGGAAUUCCGGGUGUAGCGGUGGAAUGCGUAGAGAUCGGGAGGAACACCGGUGGCGAAGGCGGUCUUCUGGACGGUGACUGACGCUGAGGCGCGAAAGCGUGGGGAGCAAACGGG